RNAcentral lists this ribosomal RNA (112 nucleotides) under Bordetella pertussis. The record is from RNAcentral. Lineage: Bacteria; Pseudomonadati; Pseudomonadota; Betaproteobacteria; Burkholderiales; Alcaligenaceae.
CCUGACGACCAUAGCAAGGUGGUCCCACUCCUUCCCAUCCCGAACAGGACAGUGAAACGCCUUCGCGCGAUGAUAGUGGAUGUACAUCUGUGAAAGUAGGUCAUCGUCAGGC